AAGGUCUUAGCUUAAUUAAAGUGUCUGAGUUGCAUUCAGGUGAUGCGGGGUGAUCUCGCAGUCUUUA
RNAcentral lists this transfer RNA (67 nucleotides) under Diploderma splendidum. Its description in RNAcentral is "tRNA-Ala". The record is from RNAcentral. Lineage: Eukaryota; Metazoa; Chordata; Lepidosauria; Squamata; Agamidae.